UACGUAGGGUGCUAGCGUUGUCCGGAUUCAUUGGGCGUAAAGAGCGUGUAGGCGGCCUGAAAGGUCAGCUGUGAAAACUCGAGGCUCAACCUCGAGACGUCGGUUGAAACCAUCUGGCUAGAGUCCGGAAGAGGAGUGUGGAAUUCCCGGUGUAGCGGUGAAAUGCGCAGAUAUCGGGAAGAACACCCGUGGCGAAGGCGGCACUCUGGGACGGUACUGACGCUGAUGCACGAAAGCUAGGGGAGCAAACAGG
This 253-nucleotide ribosomal RNA is filed under the name uncultured bacterium. RNAcentral describes it as "partial 16S ribosomal RNA". It matches the Rfam family "Bacterial small subunit ribosomal RNA", at positions 524 to 776 of the family's 1533-position model. The record is from RNAcentral.